Molecule: ribosomal RNA, 630 nt
Filed under: Triticum aestivum (bread wheat)
Lineage: Eukaryota; Viridiplantae; Streptophyta; Magnoliopsida; Poales; Poaceae
Description: partial small subunit ribosomal RNA
Source: RNAcentral
AUGGCGAUGGUCACGGCUGACGCCUCCGCCGCCGCCGACGCCGCCACGAAGCAGCCAGAAGCCGACAAGGAUUACAGCUCCUACAACGGCGCCUCCACCGCGGGUGUGGGCGGAGGGGCCCGCCGCGGCGGCGGCGGCGUUGUGGAAUCUGUGGUGGCGCGGUGGAAGCGGGAGGACAUGCUCGACAAGUGCCCCCUCGCGCUGCACGCCGCCGCCGCCGCCUUCGCCUUCGUCGCGCUCGUGCUCGUCGCCUCCAACCAGCACGGCGACUGGAUGCAGUUCGACCGCUACCAGGAGUACAUAUACCUGCUGGCGAUCGCGGCGCUGGCCUUCGCCUACUCGCUGGCGCAGGCGCUGCGGCACGCGCACCGGAUGCGCAGCGGCGCCGACCCCAUCUCCGCGCCGUCCGCGAGGCUUUUCGAUUUCAUUGCUGACCAGGUAGUCGCAUACUUGUUGAUGUCUGCUCUAUCAGCGGCUAUUCCUAUCACGAACCGCAUGAGAACAGCUGUGAUCAACAACUUCACUGACGCGACCGCUGCUGCGAUCAGCAUGGCCUUCCUUGCAUUUGUUGCCCUCGCCUUGUCAGCCACGGUUUCGGGCUACAAGCUCUCCAGACAAAUGUACAUGUGA